Molecule: non-coding RNA, 79 nt
Organism: Mauremys reevesii (Reeves's turtle)
Lineage: Eukaryota; Metazoa; Chordata; Testudines; Geoemydidae
Source: the annotation of a RefSeq genome assembly
GUCAGGAUGGCCGAGUGGUCUAAGGCGCAAGGCUCUGUCUUUCCUGCAGGAGGCGUGGGUUCAAAUCCCACUCCUGACA